CCCUUGGUAGCUCAGCUGGAAGAGCGCAAGACUGUAACGGUUAUUACGUAAUCAAGAUUGUGUAAUCUUGAAUCUUGAGGCCACUGGUUCGAUCCCGGUCUAAGGGA
Non-coding RNA from Ceratobasidium sp. 370, 107 nucleotides. The record is from the annotation of a GenBank genome assembly. NCBI's taxonomy places the organism in Eukaryota, Fungi, Basidiomycota, Agaricomycetes, Cantharellales, Ceratobasidiaceae.